GUCGAGCGAGUUCUAGGCUUCGGCCAACGAGCUAGCGGCGAACGGUCGCGUAACACGUAAGCAACCUGCCCUAAAGUGUGGGAUAGUCCUCCGAAAGGGGGCUUAAUACCGCAUGUGGACACGAUGAUGCAUGUGAUUGUGUUUAAAGCAGCGAUGCGCUUUAGGAUGGGCUUGCGGCCUAUCAGCUAGUUGGUGUAGGUAACGGCUCACCAAGGCGACGACGGGUAGCUGGUCUGAGAGGAUGGUCAGCCGGACUGGGACUGAGACACGGCCCAGACUCCUACGGGGGGCAGCAAUUAGGAAUCUUGCGCAAUGGGCGAAAGCCUGACGCAGCGACGCCGCGUGACUGAUGAAGUCUUUCGGGAUGUAAAGGUCUUUUGCAGGGGAAGAAGGAUGUGACGGUACCCUGCGAAUAAGCCCCGGCUAACUACGUGCCAGCAGCCGCGGUAAUACGUAGGGGGCGAGCGUUGUCCGAAUUUACUGGGCGUAAAGCGCGCGUAGGCGGACCUUUAAGUUGGGGGUGAAAUUCCGGGGCUCAACCUCGGAACUGCCUUCAAGACUGGGGGUCUUGAGGUAUGGAGAGGGAAGUGGAAUUCCUGGUGUAGCGGUGAAAUGCGUAGAUAUCAGGAGGAACACCCGUGGCGAAGGCGGCUUCCUGGCCAUAUCCUGACGCUGAGGUGCGAAAG
RNAcentral lists this ribosomal RNA (686 nucleotides) under uncultured Armatimonadota bacterium. RNAcentral's name for it is "bacterial SSU rRNA". It matches the Rfam family "Bacterial small subunit ribosomal RNA", at positions 61 to 759 of the family's 1533-position model. The record is from RNAcentral. Lineage: Bacteria; Bacillati; Armatimonadota.